CCGGGUGAGCCCGACGGUGGCGCUCAUUGGCCCGGCCCGCUUCGGCGGCCACGCCCCCAGCGGGGAGCCGGUCCACGUGGGGCGGGACAGCCCCCUCCCUGCGGCCUCGCCCUGGAGUCUCUGCACCGUCUGGCCCCGCCGGCUGAUUACCGCCAGAGAUCGAGGGGGACCUCGCUGUCCCCCUAGAGGCCGUCAUGCGGGGUUACAGAGGCUGCGACCAAAGUCAUUCCUAGCUCCUCUCUCGGGGCUCCGGAAAGCCGUCCGCGCCUCCAGCCGCACUUUCAGCGCACGCAGGACCUGCCGCGCCCGGUGGCCACACCCGUCCCUCUGCCGGGUGACGCUGCGGGAGAUCUUGCGCCCUGGGGCUCCGGAUCCAGUUCUGGCACGUUGUUGCACCUGUGACUUGUCCUUGGCCUGGCACUGUCCCUCGCCUGGGGGAAGCGGGGGGGUGGGGGGGGGAUGCUCACGUGGUCGCUUUGCUCCCGCAGUCAUGCACUUGGGUGAAAACAGACUGAAGAGUCACGGGAACCAGCUUGUCUCCCCAGUUAUGGCGCAGAGCUGCAAGGAUGGCUGUGGGUCAUUAAUUUCUCCGUGGCUGACCUGUGUUUGUAACGCCGCAGCUGUUGCGAGGGGGAAGGACACUGCUUCGGAUUCAAAUUCUGACUCCUUGCUGCAGUGUGUCACCUUGAGCCAGUCCCAGAUCUCUGCGUUCUCACAAUUGUAAAAUGUUAACAGUGGCUGCCUACCUUGUGGCUGGAAUUAAAUGAAUUAACGUGUGUGAAUGUGACUAGAAUUCAGUACAUGUUCAGGAAAAGCUGAUUUCCGCUUUGCUGUUACCGUGAAUAUUACUGUUUUAGGAUGUAGAAAAGGGUGGAAGGGGAUGUUAUUGCAUCCUGGAAGCUUAUCCUUUUGAGGUAAAGAUUGAUUUCUGGUCCCCUGCGUGGUAUAUAGUGUAGUUUUGACAUUAUUUAGAUGUGUUAUGCACAUUUGGGUGUUGAUUAUAUGGCUUACGAUCAAGACUAACCAGUCAUGCCGUGGGAGAUUAAGGUCGUGGUCUCUUGUCAGGAUUGUAGUGAGAUUUAAAAAUUCCAGCCAGAAAUACCAGGCUUAGAAUGCUCCGAAGCCCUCCCCACAUUUUUGCCAUCUCUAGCAGGAGGGCACUGCAUAGCAGAAACAAAGACGUUGUAAAUUGUUGCUGCCUGAGUCAUUUAUAGAGGCUUAAACAACCUGAAUGUCCUCUGACCUACCUGUAACAUUUGAUGGAGGUGUGUGAGUAACUUACAAAGCUGUAGGUCCCAAGGUCGGUCUGAAAAAGAAAGUUCAUAUCCGGGAGCACUGACCCUGUAGUGUAAUCCUGGCACCUUAAAACGUACUGCUCCCUCCACCUUCACUUCAAGGUUAUGAAAACAUUGAGUAAAAGGGAUGAUCUGUUCAAAGUCCUUAGUGUUCUGCCAAUUUAAAACAGUAAUUUUCAAAGCAGUUAUUUGCAAGGAAAUUGCCUAGAACUUCUCCCAGUGUGCGGUUGUUUUGUGUGUUUGUGUGUGUGUUUUGUUUGUUUGUUUUCAGUCUGUCCACAGGCGUACUUUUAUAGGUCUGUGAUAGUACGUAGCUCUUCCAGUUGGCAAACACCUGCUGGACAACCCCUGAGAGAUUCAUCUGAGUGAGAGAGCACUCUCCAGCCCCAUCGGAGUGGGUUUGCAGGGAAAUCAUAAGGAAGAAAUCCUUAUCUUUCCAACGCUGAGAUGCCUCUGCCGAAGAGUAGAAUGGGAGACAGAGAAACGGAGGCACAGAGAAGGAAGCGGCAGGUAAAGCUGUGAAGAACCUAACAAAUUUCAAGAUUGUAAGUGCCUUUUCCCAGGAUGCCAGCAAGUACUGAGGCAAGCCUGUAUUUUGAGCUGCGUCAAACCCUGUUGGAAUAAAAAAGGACAUUUCUAGGAGAUCAGUCUUCAAGAUUGGCCCCAGUUUCCCCAGAGUAGGAAGAGGCAGGAAGCCAGAGCACAUGUUCUCUCCAGAAAUAAAGUUGUUGCAGUGGCCU
This 2035-nucleotide long non-coding RNA is filed under the name Pan troglodytes (chimpanzee). RNAcentral's name for it is "long non-coding RNA NONPTRT010688". The record is from RNAcentral. Lineage: Eukaryota; Metazoa; Chordata; Mammalia; Primates; Hominidae.